RNAcentral lists this ribosomal RNA (263 nucleotides) under uncultured bacterium. RNAcentral's name for it is "partial 16S ribosomal RNA". It matches the Rfam family "Bacterial small subunit ribosomal RNA", at positions 793 to 1055 of the family's 1533-position model. The record is from RNAcentral.
GUCCACACCGUAAACGAUGGAUACUAGGUGUAGGAGGUAUCGACCCCUUCUGUGCCGCAGUUAACACAAUAAGUAUCCCACCUGGGGAGUACGGUCGCAAGACUGAAACUCAAAGGAAUUGACGGGGCCCGCACAAGCAGUGGAGUAUGUGGUUUAAUUCGAAGCAACGCGAAGAACCUUACCUGGUCUUGACAUCCCGAUGACCGGCAUAGAGAUAUGCCUUUUCUUCGGAACAUCGGUGACAGGUGGUGCAUGGUUGUCGU